UUACUUUUUCAGAGGGUGAGGUGGCUCUGAGCACUUUCACAGCCUCUUUCUCUCUCUCUGGGUUGUGCUGGAGGGGAAAAGCCUUACUCUUUCUUGCACGGCAGAACCCACCAGCCCAGAGAGAGAUCAUUUCCCUCUGAUUCAGUUAGAGGAGAAAGGCAGGGAUCUCUCACAAGGUGAGCAGUAGCAGGAUGACUUUUUGAUGUUUCUCUUCCAGGCAAGCCAUGUCUUUUCUCCAUGGCAGAAGGGCACCAGAUCUUCCUGUUAUGUGUUCUUCUUGCCCCAAUGGUGGGGACAUCACAGCCCUCGAGGACAUCGCUGCCCUUGGGGCCAUCAUUGCCCAGCCCAGGAUGGUGUCUGGGCUGCUCCCCCGGGAAAAGGCAGGAACAGGUCAGGAACCAGCAGAACCGGCUGUGUGCUGGGUUCCUGUCUGUGCAGACACGGCAGUCCUACGGCUCUCGCUGGGGUCUCCCCUGUUUCCAGUGCUGUCGAGCAGCUCUCAGAUCUGUGAUAAUUUAAUUAACCUGCCCUGUUCUGCCGCGGCUGUCGGAGCAGGGGAAAAGGAUCCAGGCACCCGGGGAGUUCCUUCUUUGCCUGAGCACAUACGUCUCCUACGCAAAAGUCACAGAAGAGCAAUUUCCCCACCAGGAAAGCUCAUUGUGGGUUUUUUUUAAAAACACAGAUCGUUUUCUUAGAUGUGUGUGUCAACUGCUCAGGGUAAGGAAAGAAGCAGUUUGUUGGAUGGAUGGGGUCCAGUCACGUCGGAGUUCUGCAGGAAGCUGGGGCUGGAGGCACUGAGUGUCCUUAGGUGGGAUUCCCACCUGGAAAACCGAGGGGUUUGCACAAGGGCAAAGGAACUUUGAGAGUUUAAAGCAGAGAGCUCGCUCCAGCCCCGCCACCUCCUCCUGAUAAUGAUGGAAACUGCCUCGGAUGUCUCCUGCCAGCACUGAAAUUAAUACCCUUCUUCAUUGGAAGUGGCAUAUUCAACUACUCCCCAAAAGGUUUUUUGGCCGGUUGGCCUUUAUCAUCCACGGGGAACUGGUCCCUCUGAAGCUGAGUCUUGCCUUGUCUUUGGGCAUCACCCGACGGCGUCGCCUGGAUGAAGCUGAGGAAGCCUGUGACUGCAGUCGGGAGGCAUCUCGAGCUAAUGAAGAUGUUUUCCCCUCUAUCUGCCGUUAUCUGGGCGCCUGGAAGAGCUGCGGAGGAGCUCUCAUCCUGCUCCAGGCAGAGCUGAUGGGAUUUGCACCGGUCCCAGUUGCCAUGGAGAAAGUGUUAGAUGGCUUUAAUACAUCUCUGCGAAUUUCUCCCCGGAGUUUUCCUGUGACAAGCUGGACUGGAGGCGUUUUGGUGAAAUCCCCUGCAAAUCCAGCCGUUCCUCUGGAGGCUGCCCGGGCGCCGGGUUGGGAGGAGGAUUCCGUGGAGUGCUGCGGAGAGGCUGCACGGCAAAACGUGUGCUCCAGCUGA
RNAcentral lists this long non-coding RNA (1464 nucleotides) under Calidris pugnax (ruff). RNAcentral's name for it is "lncRNA (ENSCPUG00000005076.1)". Lineage: Eukaryota; Metazoa; Chordata; Aves; Charadriiformes; Scolopacidae. The record is from RNAcentral.